UGGGCAACCUGCCCCUCUCUCUGGGAUAACCCCGGGAAAACCGGAGCUAAUACCGGAGUACUCCGGCUGGAUCGCAUGGUCCGGCCGGGAAAGGUCCGCCGGAGAGGGAUGGGCCCGCGGCCUAUCAGCUUGUUGGUGGGGUCAUGGCUCACCAAGGCGACGACGGGUAGCUGGUCUGAGAGGACGACCAGCCACACUGGAACUGAGAUACGGUCCAGACUCCGUACGGGAGGCA
RNAcentral lists this ribosomal RNA (235 nucleotides) under uncultured bacterium. RNAcentral describes it as "partial 16S ribosomal RNA". It matches the Rfam family "Bacterial small subunit ribosomal RNA", at positions 118 to 350 of the family's 1533-position model. The record is from RNAcentral.